Molecule: ribosomal RNA, 498 nt
Filed under: uncultured bacterium
Lineage: Bacteria
Description: partial 16S ribosomal RNA
Rfam family: Bacterial small subunit ribosomal RNA
Source: RNAcentral
AUUGAACGCUGGCGGCAUGCCUUACACAUGCAAGUCGAACGGUAACAGGUCUUCGGACGCUGACGAGUGGCGAACGGGUGAGUAAUACAUCGGAACGUGCCCAGUCGUGGGGGAUAACUACUCGAAAGAGUAGCUAAUACCGCAUACGAUCUGAGGAUGAAAGCGGGGGACCUUCGGGCCCCGCGCGAUUGGAGCGGCCGAUGGCAGAUUAGGUAGUUGGUGGGAUAAAAGCUUACCAAGCCGACGAUCUGUAGUUGGUCUGAGAGGACGACCAGCCACACUGCGACUGAGACACGGCCCAGACUCCUACGGGAGGCAGCAGUGGGGAAUUUUGGACAAUGGGCGAAAGCCUGAUCCAGCAAUGCCGCGUGCAGGAUGAAGGCCUUCGGGUUGUAAACUGCUUUUGUACGGAACGAAAAAGCUCCUUCUAAUACAGGGGGCCCAUGACGGUACCGUAAGAAUAAGCACCGGCUAACUACGUGCCAGCCGCCGCCGUAA